Molecule: ribosomal RNA, 253 nt
Filed under: uncultured bacterium
Lineage: Bacteria
Description: partial 16S ribosomal RNA
Rfam family: Bacterial small subunit ribosomal RNA
Source: RNAcentral
UACGUAGGGUGCGAGCGUUAAUCGGAAUUACUGGGCGUAAAGCGUGCGCAGGCGGUUUUGUAAGCCUGAUGUGAAAGCCCCGGGCUUAACCUGGGAAUGGCAUUUGGGACUGCAAGGCUUGAGUGCGGCAGAGGAGACUGGAAUUCCUGGUGUAGCAGUGAAAUGCGCAGAUAUCAGGAGGAACACCCGUGGCGAAAGCGGCUCUCUGGGACGGUACUGACGCUGAGACGCGAAAGCGUGGGGAGCAAAAGGG